Molecule: non-coding RNA, 125 nt
Organism: Triticum aestivum (bread wheat)
Lineage: Eukaryota; Viridiplantae; Streptophyta; Magnoliopsida; Poales; Poaceae
Source: Rfam
UACGUACUCCCUCCGUCCAGAAUUACUUGUUGCGGAAAUGGAUAAAAGUAGAUGAAUGUAGAACUAAAGUAUAUCUAGAUACAUCCAUUUCUCCGAUUAGUAAAUCCGGACGGAGAGAGUACAUU